AACGAACGCUGGCGGCAUGCCUAACACAUGCAAGUCGAACGAACUCUUCGGAUUUAGUGGCGCACGGGUGCGUAACACGUGGGAACCUGCCUUUAGGUUCGGAAUAACUCCCCGAAACUUGUGCUAAUACCGAAUGUGCUCUUCGGGGCAAAGAUUUAUCGCCUUUUGGGCGGCCCGCGUUUGAUUAGCUGGUUGGUUAGGUAAAGGCUAACCAAGGCGACGAUCAGUAGCUGGUCUGAGAGGAUGAUCAGCCACAUUGGGACUGGGACACGGCCCGAACACCAAGGGAAGGAGGAAGGGGGGAAAUGAGAGCAAGGGGGGAAAGCCAGACGAGGAAAGGCGGGGGGAAGGAGGAAGGACUAAGGAUGGAAAAAUGCUUUCACCGGGGAGAAAAAGAAAGGAACGGGAAAAAGAAGUCCGGGCAAACAUGGU
RNAcentral lists this ribosomal RNA (432 nucleotides) under uncultured bacterium. RNAcentral's name for it is "partial 16S ribosomal RNA". It matches the Rfam family "Bacterial small subunit ribosomal RNA", at positions 30 to 506 of the family's 1533-position model. The record is from RNAcentral.